This 148-nucleotide unclassified non-coding RNA is filed under the name Thalassocella blandensis. RNAcentral describes it as "Teredinibacter sp. ISS155 sau-50". The record is from RNAcentral. Lineage: Bacteria; Pseudomonadati; Pseudomonadota; Gammaproteobacteria; Cellvibrionales; Cellvibrionaceae.
GAAAUGUUACCACUCUUCUGGCGGUAAUGGGUAUCUCUUCACCCGUCUUGGGAUUGCGACCUGGUCGUUGUUUUUUAUCUCUCAGCUCAAAAUUUCCGAAUCCUGAGAGCUUGACCUGCUCAUUACUCUCCAGCGAGUCGCGAAUUUC